AGAGUUUGAUCCUGGCUCAGGAUGAACGCUAGCGGCAGGCUUAACACAUGCAAGUCGAGGGGCAGCGGGGAGGAAGCUUGCUUUCUCCGCCGGCGACCGGCGCACGGGUGAGUAACACGUAUGCAACCUGCCCCUGUCAGGGGGACAACCCGCCGAAAGGCGGGCUAAACCCGCGUACAUGCCACCGGGGCAUCCCGGAGGCAGGAAAGGCUUCGGCCGGACAGGGAUGGGCAUGCGGCGCAUUAGGCAGUAGGCGGGGUAACGGCCCACCUAACCGACGAUGCGUAGGGGUUCUGAGAGGAAGGUCCCCCACACUGGUACUGAGACACGGACCAGACUCCUACGGGAGGCAGCAGUGAGGAAUAUUGGUCAAUGGUCGGGAGACUGAACCAGCCAAGCCGCGUGAGGGAGGAAGGUACAGAGUAUCGUAAACCUCUUUUGUCAGGGAACAAAGGCGGGGACGUGUCCCCGGAUGAGUGUACCUGAAGAAAAAGCAUCGGCUAACUCCGUGCCAGCAGCCGCGGUAAUACGGAGGAUGCGAGCGUUAUCCGGAUUUAUUGGGUUUAAAGGGUGCGCAGGCGGUCUGUUAAGUCAGCGGUCAAAGCCCGGGGCUCAACCCCGGCCCGCCGUUGAAACUGGCAGUCUCGAGUUGGAGAGAAGUAUGCGGAAUGCGCGGUGUAGCGGUGAAAUGCAUAGAUAUCGCGCAGAACUCCGAUUGCGAAGGCAGCAUGCCGGCUCCACACUGACGCUGAGGCACGAAAGCGUGGGUAUCGAACAGGAUUAGAUACCCUGGUAGUCCACGCAGUAAACGAUGAAUGCUGGCUGUCCGGGGGGACUGACCCCUGGGUGGCGAAGCGAAAGCGAUAAGCAUUCCACCUGGGGAGUACGCCGGCAACGGUGAAACUCAAAGGAAUUGACGGGGGCCUGCACAAGCGGAGGAACAUGUGGUUUAAUUCGAUGAUACGCGAGGAACCUUACCCGGGCUCAAACGGGGAGUGGCGCAGGCAGAGACGCCUGUUUCCCACGGGACACUCCCCGAGGUGCUGCAUGGUUGUCGUCAGCUCGUGCCGUGAGGUGUCGGCUUAAGUGCCAUAACGAGCGCAACCCCCGCGUGCAGUUGCUAACAGAUAACGCUGAGGACUCUGCACGGACUGCCGGCGCAAGCCGCGAGGAAGGCGGGGAUGACGUCAAAUCAGCACGGCCCUUACGUCCAGGGCGACACACGUGUUACAAUGGGUGGUACAGCGGGAAGCCAGGCGGCGACGCCGAGCGGAACCCGAAAUCCACUCUCAGUUCGGAUCGGAGUCUGCAACCCGACUCCGUGAAGCUGGAUUCGCUAGUAAUCGCGCAUCAGCCAUGGCGCGGUGAAUACGUUCCCGGGCCUUGCACUCACCGCCCGUCAAG
Molecule: ribosomal RNA, 1404 nt
Filed under: uncultured bacterium
Lineage: Bacteria
Description: bacterial SSU rRNA
Rfam family: Bacterial small subunit ribosomal RNA
Source: RNAcentral